Molecule: ribosomal RNA, 658 nt
Filed under: Alternanthera ficoidea
Lineage: Eukaryota; Viridiplantae; Streptophyta; Magnoliopsida; Caryophyllales; Amaranthaceae
Description: eukaryotic LSU rRNA
Rfam family: 5.8S ribosomal RNA (bases 299-453)
Source: RNAcentral
AUUUUUUAGNAGGAAGGGAGAAGUCGGUAACAAGGUUUCCGUAGGUGAACCUGCGGAAGGAUCAUUGUCGAAACCUGCCCUAGCAGAACAACCCGCGAACAAGUUCAUACCAUCUUACGGGGAUAGGGGUAGCUGGCUAGCCGGUCCCUUCCCUACGUUGGUGGCAUCCCACGGGAUGAUCACCGGCACAAUAACAAACCCCGGCGUGUUAUGCGCCAAGGAACAUAAACAUAGCUUUGCCAACCCAUUGCCCGGGUCCCCGGUGCAUUGGCUUGGCGGCGUAUCUUAGUCGUAAAACGACUCUCGGCAACGGAUAUCUCGGCUCUCGCAUCGAUGAAGAACGUAGCGAAAUGCGAUACUUGGUGUGAAUUGCAGAAUCCCGUGAACCAUCGAGUUUUUGAACGCAAGUUGCGCCCGAAGCCCUCGGGCCAGGGCACGUCUGCCUGGGCGUCACGCAUAGCGUCUCCCCAUCUCCCAACUAAGGGAAUGAGGAGGAGGAUGGCCUCCCGUGCCUCACCGGGCGUGGUUGGCUUAAAUAAGGAGCCCUUGGCAACUUGAUGCCGCGGCGAUUGGUGGCACAAUGGGCUUAUACCCGCAAAGCAUCGCGCCGUGCAACAAGCUGUCUUACUGGGCAUCGUCGGACCCUAAAUAANCUUUU